RNAcentral lists this ribosomal RNA (497 nucleotides) under uncultured bacterium. Its description in RNAcentral is "partial 16S ribosomal RNA". It matches the Rfam family "Bacterial small subunit ribosomal RNA", at positions 28 to 507 of the family's 1533-position model. The record is from RNAcentral.
GAUGAACGCUGGCGGCGUGCCUAAUACAUGCAAGUCGAGCGAACAGACGAGGAGCUUGCUCCUCUGACGUUAGCGGCGGACGGGUGAGUAACACGUGGAUAACCUACCUAUAAGACUGGGAUAACUUCGGGAAACCGGAGCUAAUACCGGAUAAUAUUUUGAACCGCAUGGUUCAAUAGUGAAAGACGGUUUUGCUGUCACUUAUAGAUGGAUCCGCGCCGCAUUAGCUAGUUGGUAAGGUAACGGCUUACCAAGGCAACGAUGCGUAGCCGACCUGAGAGGGUGAUCGGCCACACUGGAACUGAGACACGGUCCAGACGCCUACGGGAGGCAGCAGUAGGGAAUCUUCCGCAAUGGGCGAAAGCCUGACGGAGCAACGCCGCGUGAGUGAUGAAGGUCUUCGGAUCGUAAAACUCUGUUAUUAGGGAAGAACAAAUGUGUAAGUAACUAUGCACGUCUUGACGGUACCUAAUCAGAAAGCCACGGCUAACUACGUG